Non-coding RNA from Cordylochernes scorpioides, 75 nucleotides. NCBI's taxonomy places the organism in Eukaryota, Metazoa, Arthropoda, Arachnida, Pseudoscorpiones, Chernetidae. The record is from the annotation of a GenBank genome assembly.
CACCACAAUUUGGAAGAUGAACCCAGACAACCAGAGAUUAAGAGUCUCAUGCUCUACCGACUGAGCUAGCCGGGC